CGUAGGUGGCAAGCGUUGUCCGGAUUUAUUGGGUUUAAAGGGUGCGUAGGCGGCCUUAUAAGUCAGUGCUGAAAUACUCUAGCUUAACUAGAGGGGUGGCAUUGAUACUGCAAGGCUUGAGUAUAGUCGAGGUAGGCGGAAUUGACGGUGUAGCGGUGAAAUGCUUAGAUAUCGUCAAGAACACCGAUAGUGUAGACAGCUUACUAGGCUAUAACUGACGCUGAGGCACGAAAGUGUGGGGAUCAAACAGGAUUAGAUACCCUGGUAGUCCACACUGUAAACGUUGAUUACUCGCUGUUGGCGAUACACAGUCAGCGGCUUAGCGCAAGCGAUAAGUAAUCCACCUGGGGAUACGCCGGCAACGGUG
RNAcentral lists this ribosomal RNA (367 nucleotides) under uncultured organism. RNAcentral's name for it is "bacterial SSU rRNA". It matches the Rfam family "Bacterial small subunit ribosomal RNA", at positions 526 to 896 of the family's 1533-position model. The record is from RNAcentral.